GGAAGCGUGUGCUAGCAAUGGCGCAACUGAACAUUGAUCGCUGACGGUAUUAUUAUAUAGGUAUGGCAGAUCUGCUCAGGGGUGCAGCGAAUAGCUUGGAUUUACGGCUCCCGAUGCGCUCUGCGGGAUAGGCCGAAAUUUCGGUCUAGCCCAACGUGGAGCCCGCACGGUUGAGUCCUAUAUACGUCGCUCCUCAAACUACCGCGAUUUUCUUAAUUGGUGGGGGGCGAUUUCAAAUAUAACUCAUAAACGAGGUAAUUCUUCGCUUCCAUAUACACGGCACUGCAGUUCGCAGUAUGCCCUGUUUUUUUU
RNAcentral lists this small nuclear RNA (312 nucleotides) under Nasonia vitripennis (jewel wasp). RNAcentral describes it as "Arthropod 7SK RNA". It matches the Rfam family "Arthropod 7SK RNA". Lineage: Eukaryota; Metazoa; Arthropoda; Insecta; Hymenoptera; Pteromalidae. The record is from Rfam by way of RNAcentral.